Molecule: small RNA, 119 nt
Organism: Cardiobacterium hominis ATCC 15826
Lineage: Bacteria; Pseudomonadati; Pseudomonadota; Gammaproteobacteria; Cardiobacteriales; Cardiobacteriaceae
Rfam family: Y RNA-like
About the family: In Deinococcus radiodurans Rsr is tethered via Y RNA to the exoribonuclease PNPase and channels single-stranded RNA into the PNPase cavity.
Source: Rfam
GCACCAAAUGCGCAGGGAAUUACAGGGUCGCGGGUUCGAGUCCCGCCCUGCCGGUUCUCCGGCAGGUAACUCAGCCAGGUAGAGUAUGUGAGCAUUUCCUGCACCCUCGUUGGUGUGAU